GACGAACGCUGGCGGCGUGCUUAACACAUGCAAGUCGAACGGAAAGGCCCUGCUUUUGUGGGGUGCUCGAGUGGCGAACGGGUGAGUAACACGUGAGUAACCUGCCCUUGACUUUGGGAUAACUUCAGGAAACUGGGGCUAAUACCGGAUAGGAGCUCCUGCUGCAUGGUGGGGGUUGGAAAGUUUCGGCGGUUGGGGAUGGACUCGCGGCUUAUCAGCUUGUUGGUGGGGUAGUGGCUUACCAAGGCUUUGACGGGUAGCCGGCCUGAGAGGGUGACCGGCCACAUUGGGACUGGGAUACGGCCCAGACUCCUACGGGAGGCAGCAGUGGGGAAUAUUACACAAUGGGCGGAAGCCUGAUGCAGCAACGCCGCGUGCGGGAUGACGGCCUUCGGGUUGUAAGCCGCUUUCGCCUGUGACGAAGCGUGAGUGACGGUAAUGGGUAAAGAAGCACCGGCUAACUACGUG
This 468-nucleotide ribosomal RNA is filed under the name uncultured bacterium. RNAcentral describes it as "partial 16S ribosomal RNA". It matches the Rfam family "Bacterial small subunit ribosomal RNA", at positions 28 to 507 of the family's 1533-position model. The record is from RNAcentral.